GAUGAACGCUAGCGGGAGGCUUAACACAUGCAAGUCGAGGGGCAGCACGUCUUCGGAUGGUGGCGACCGGCGAACGGGUGCGUAACGCGUAUGCAACCUACCCUUAACAGGAGAAUAGCCCAGAGAAAUUUGGAUUAAUACUCCAUAGUAUUACAGAUUCGCAUGUUUCUGUAAUUAAAGUUCCAACGGUUAAGGAUGGGCAUGCGUGACAUUAGCUUGUUGGUGAGGUAACGGCUCACCAAGGCAACGAUGUCUAGGGGUUCUGAGAGGAUGAUCCCCCACACUGGUACGUGAGACACGGACCGAGACUCCUACGGGAGGGCGAG
RNAcentral lists this ribosomal RNA (326 nucleotides) under uncultured bacterium. RNAcentral describes it as "bacterial SSU rRNA". It matches the Rfam family "Bacterial small subunit ribosomal RNA", at positions 28 to 353 of the family's 1533-position model. The record is from RNAcentral.